GAUGAAGAACGUAGCGAAAUGCGAUAAGUAAUGUGAAUUGCAGAAUUCAGUGAAUCAUCGAAUCUUUGAACGCACCUUGCGCCCUUUGGCCAUUCCGAAGGGCAUGCCUGUUUGAGUAUCAUGAACACCUCAACUCUCAUGGCUCGCCAUGAUGAGCUUGGAUUUGGGGGUCUUGCUAGCCUGUGGUCGGCUCCUCUCAAAUGGAUCAGCUUGCCAGUGUUUGGUGGCAUCACAGGUGUGAUAACUAUCUGCGCUUGUGGUUUUCCAUCAGAUAACCUUCAGUGAUGGAGGUUCGCUGGAGCUCAUAAACGUCUCCCCUAAGCGGGGACAGCCCUUUGAAUGUUUGAUCUCAAAUCAGGUAGGACUACCCGCUGAACUUAAGCAUAUCAAUAAGCGGAGGA
RNAcentral lists this unclassified non-coding RNA (401 nucleotides) under soil metagenome. RNAcentral's name for it is "partial contains 5.8S ribosomal RNA, internal transcribed spacer 2, and large subunit ribosomal RNA". The stretch from base 1 to 121 matches the Rfam family "5.8S ribosomal RNA", at positions 35 to 154 of the family's 154-position model. The record is from RNAcentral.